UUGGGCCAACGAGGAGAGGAUGAAGAGACGGGUCUCAUCAUUGCCAUGGUUGCCCUCGUCUUCGAUCUGGAAAGAGUCCACAAAAAAUAAGGAAAAAUUAUUAGCAACAAAUCGACGCAACUUAACACAGUCUAAAGUGUCCCUGCCUUUCGGCUGUCACAUGGAUUUCAGAUUCGGAUUCCGCUUCAGCUUCAGGAUUUGGCUUUUGUCUUUUGCUCUUUUCAUUGAGCCACAGAAGAAAAAGAAGAAGCCUUCCGAAUUAUACUGGAAAUUUAAGACGAAACCCCGAACCAUCCAACCAACGAACGAAUUCAGAGCAGUGCCUUUCUUUUUUGUAACAACUUCUGUGACCGGCGACGGUUUUGCAAGGAAGUGCCACUAAAUUGUGGCAGAUAACAACUACUAAAAGGCAGUCAAAGUCUUCAAUAGGAAUCCCUUAAACAAAAAAAAAAACAAGCAGCAUUUUUGUAUAUAUGUAAGUUUGCUUUUUGGCUGGUACAACAGUGCGUAUGAUGAAUGGUUAAAGUUGAACUACCUGAGCUCUCAGCUGCUGUUGUUGAUUUGCACGUGUGAACUGAGCAGCAGAAGAGAAGAGACAACGAACUCGAAACGAAAAGCAAUGAAAUGAGCUGCUGAAAAUGGCAAUUUAAGUGACUGUCGAGUGUCGAGGAGAAGACGGAGAAUUGUUUGCCAGAUGCCAGGAUAAAAGCUCACAAGCAAACACAACACACACAUGCCACAUGAACCAUCCGGAAUACUCAAAAAAAGGAAAACCCCAAACACAACGCAAUAAAUGCAAAAUAUUCAAAACACAAAAAGGGAAGCUAACCAGCAAGAUGAACAGCAAUAAUAAGGAUAAAGAGGUGAGAGGCACAAGCUGGAAAUGCAUCAAAGUGGAAGACGUCGCUCAAGUGGAAGCAACGGCGGAAAACUCGUGGAAAACCCGUGCCACAGGCAAAGAGCAAAAAAAAAAAGUCAUUAAAAUCGCAUAAAAGUGAAGCCCAGGAAGAAGAGGUCCAAACACGGGCUUUGACACGGUCGGUCACUGGCCAGAAUGAUUAAUUGUUCUACCAGACAGAGUGAGUUACCCCUCUUCUCCUCCAGUUUUUUAUUUAUUUCUUUGCAAUGACCUCUCUUUCCCUUUGAUUUAAAUGCCGCAGUAUCAAAAAGUCAUAAAAUCCCCUCACCUCAAUUUAAAUUAAUGACAAAAAUGUUUGACAAAAUCAUUAAACGUGUGCAAGCUUACAAAAAA
Molecule: unclassified non-coding RNA, 1252 nt
Organism: Drosophila serrata
Lineage: Eukaryota; Metazoa; Arthropoda; Insecta; Diptera; Drosophilidae
Source: RefSeq, a predicted model, not a curated record